AUUGAACGCUGGCGGCAGGCCUAACACCUGCAAGUCGAGCGAGCUGCGGACGGGUGAGUAAUGCCUGGGAAACUGCCUGAUGGAGGGGGAUCACUACUGGAAACGGUAGCUAAUACCGCAUACCAUCGGAUGUGCCCAGAUGGGCUGAGCUAGUAGGUGGGGUAAAGGCUCACCUAGGCGCCGAUCCCUAGCUGGUCUGAGAGGAUGACAAGCCACAAUGGAACUGAGACACGGUCCAGACUCCUACGCGGGGCAGCAGUGGGGAAUAUUGCACAAGUGGCGCAAGCCUGAUGCAGCCAUGCCGCGUGUAUGAAGAAGGCCUUCGGGUUGUAAAGUACUUUCAGCGGGGAGGCGUUACCCGCAGAAGAAGCACCGGCUAACUCCGUGCCAGCAGCCGCGGUAAUAC
This 406-nucleotide ribosomal RNA is filed under the name uncultured bacterium. RNAcentral describes it as "partial 16S ribosomal RNA". It matches the Rfam family "Bacterial small subunit ribosomal RNA", at positions 30 to 526 of the family's 1533-position model. The record is from RNAcentral.